Molecule: ribosomal RNA, 486 nt
Filed under: uncultured bacterium
Lineage: Bacteria
Description: bacterial SSU rRNA
Rfam family: Bacterial small subunit ribosomal RNA
Source: RNAcentral
GAUGAACGCUAGCGGCAGGCCUAAUACAUGCAAGACGAACGGUAACUUUGGUAGCAAUAUUGAAGCAAGAGUGUCGUAAGGGUGCGUAACACGUAUGCAAUCUCCCCUCAACAGGAGGAUAGCUCCCCGAAAGGGGAAUUAACACUCCAUAAGAUUGUGGUCUGGCAUCAGACGGCAAUUAAAACUACGGUGGUUGAGGAUGAGCAUGCGCAUGAUUAGUUAGUUGGCGGGGUAAUGGCCCACCAAGACGAUGAUCAUUAGGGGAACUGAGAGGUUGAUCCCCCACACUGGCACUGAGAUACGGGCCAGACUCCUACGGGAGGCAGCAGUAGGGAAUAUUGGACAAUGGGUGCGAGCCUGAUCCAGCCAUGCCGCGUGCAGGAAGACGGCCUUCUGGGUUGUAAACUGCUUUUGCCAGGGGAUAAAAGUCCCUGCGGGAAAUUGAGGUACCUGGUGAAUAAGCCACGGCUAACUACGUGCCAGCAG